This 233-nucleotide long non-coding RNA is filed under the name Capsicum annuum. Its description in RNAcentral is "long non-coding RNA (CANN_LNC007971)". The record is from RNAcentral. Lineage: Eukaryota; Viridiplantae; Streptophyta; Magnoliopsida; Solanales; Solanaceae.
UGGUGGUAGCGUAGGGAUCGGGCACAGACCUUUCUCAAUGCUUUAUAUGAAGAAUGGGGUGCAUGGCUUCUAAGUUUAAGUGUACUACAGGGUGUGUAGUGCUCAAGAUUACAUAGGCCAUGGCAAAUGCGUCGCCUAAGACAUAGUCUAAGAUCACCCUCACGUAUGCCACAAUUUAUGUGCCAGACACUUUAACUUUGGCGAUGGCUUGUACGUCACACAUCCAACCGCAC